Molecule: ribosomal RNA, 95 nt
Filed under: uncultured bacterium
Lineage: Bacteria
Description: partial 16S ribosomal RNA
Source: RNAcentral
GAGUUUGUAACACCCAAAGCCGGUGGGGUAACCUUUUGGGAGCCAGCCGUCUAAGGUGGGACAGAUGAUUAGGGGUGAAGUCGUAACAAGGUAGC